This 463-nucleotide ribosomal RNA is filed under the name uncultured bacterium. RNAcentral describes it as "partial 16S ribosomal RNA". It matches the Rfam family "Bacterial small subunit ribosomal RNA", at positions 28 to 507 of the family's 1533-position model. The record is from RNAcentral.
GAUGAACGCUGACAGAAUGCUUAACACAUGCAAGUCUUUGGCGAAGCUGUGCUUGCACAGCCUAGCCAAGGCGGACGGGUGAGUAACGCGUAAGGAACUUGCCCUGCAGUCAGGGAUAACAGACGGAAACGACUGAUAAGACCUGGUAAAGUCAGGCGGACUCAUGUCCAGCCUGAUGAAAAGAGAUGCUGCAGGAGAGCCUUGCGUCCUAUUAGCUUGUUGGUGGGGUAACGGCCCACCAAGGCGAUGAUAGGUAGCCGGCCUGAGAGGGUGGACGGCCACAAGGGGACUGAGAUACGGCCCUUACUCCUACGGGAGGCAGCAGUGGGGAAUAUUGGACAAUGGGGGCAACCCUGAUCCAGCAAUUCUGUGUGCACGAUGAAGGUUUUCGAAUUGUAAAGUGCUUUCAGCAGGGAAGAAAAAAAUGACGGUACCUGCAGAAGAAGCGACGGCUAAAUACGUG